AUUGAACGCUGGCGGCAGGCCUAACACAUGCAAGUCGAGCGAGAAAGCGCCUUCGGGUGCGAGUAGAGCGGCGGACGGGUGAGUAACGCGUAGGAAUCUACCUGGUAGUGGGGGACAACAGUCGGAAACGGCUGCUAAUACCGCAUACGCCCCAUGGGGGAAAGCGGGGGAUCUUCGGACCUCGCGCUAUCAGAUGAGCCUGCGUAGGAUUAGCUAGUUGGUGGGGUAAAGGCCUACCAAGGCGACGAUCCUUAGCUGGUCUGAGAGGAUGAUCAGUCACACUGGAACUGAGACACGGUCCAGACUCCUACGGGAGGCAGCAGUGGGGAAUAUUGCGCAAUGGGCGAAAGCCUGACGCAGCCAUGCCGCGUGUGUGAAGAAGGCCCUAGGGUUGUAAAGCACUUUCAAUUGGGAAGAAAAGCUGCAGGUUAAUAACCUGUAGCCCUGACAUUACCUUUAGAAGAAGCACCGGCUAACUCCG
Molecule: ribosomal RNA, 481 nt
Filed under: uncultured Alteromonadales bacterium
Lineage: Bacteria; Pseudomonadati; Pseudomonadota; Gammaproteobacteria; Alteromonadales
Description: bacterial SSU rRNA
Rfam family: Bacterial small subunit ribosomal RNA
Source: RNAcentral